AAUCAACGCUGGCGGCGCGCUUAACACAUGCAAGUCGAGCGAGAAAGGGGAGCAAUCCCUGAGUACAGCGGCGUACGGGUGAGUAACACGUGGAUCAUCUACCUUCUAGUGGGGGAUAACCCUGGGAAACCGGGGCUAAUACCGCAUAAGCCUGUGAAGGGAAAGCCCCCGUUGUAAAAGAUGGGGGCGCUGGAAGAGGAGUCCGCGGCCGAUUAGCUAGUUGGUGAGGUAACGGCCCACCAAGGCGACGAUCGGUAGCCGGCCUGAGAGGGCACACGCCACACUGGCACUGAAACACGGGCCAGACUCCUACGGGAGGCAGCAGUGGGGAAUCUUGCACAAUGGAGGCAACUCUGAUGCAGCGACGCCGNGUG
Molecule: ribosomal RNA, 374 nt
Filed under: uncultured bacterium
Lineage: Bacteria
Description: bacterial SSU rRNA
Rfam family: Bacterial small subunit ribosomal RNA
Source: RNAcentral